Molecule: small nucleolar RNA, 76 nt
Organism: Ruditapes philippinarum (Manila clam)
Lineage: Eukaryota; Metazoa; Mollusca; Bivalvia; Venerida; Veneridae
Product: small nucleolar RNA U3
Exons: 1
Source: RefSeq, a predicted model, not a curated record
AAGACCUUACUCUUAGGGAUCAUUUCUAUAGUAAGUGUCGCCAGGACGUCAGGUAAAACUGACGAGACCCUAUAGU